Molecule: transfer RNA, 72 nt
Filed under: Kaupichthys hyoproroides (false moray)
Lineage: Eukaryota; Metazoa; Chordata; Actinopteri; Anguilliformes; Chlopsidae
Description: tRNA-Thr
Rfam family: tRNA
About the family: Transfer RNA (tRNA) molecules are approximately 80 nucleotides in length. Their secondary structure includes four short double-helical elements and three loops (D, anti-codon, and T loops).
Source: RNAcentral
GCCCUAGUAGCUUAAAAACAAAGCACCGGUUUUGUAAUCCGGAGAAUGAAGACUAAAGCCCUUCCUAGCGCC